Molecule: ribosomal RNA, 376 nt
Filed under: uncultured eukaryote
Lineage: Eukaryota
Description: partial 18S ribosomal RNA
Rfam family: Eukaryotic small subunit ribosomal RNA
Source: RNAcentral
CAAGAGCGUAUAUUAAAGUUGCUGCGGUUAAAAAGCUCGUAGUUGGAUUUCAGUCUAGGAAGGUUAACUCGCCGAAAGGUUGUACGUUGAUUUUCCUCAGACUUCGUCAGAAGCUCGUGCUGCACUCAACUGUGUGGUACGAUGUUCUGACCUUUUACCUUGAGGAAAGUAGAGUGUUUCAGGCAGGCUACCCAGCUUGAAUACAUUAGCAUGGAAUAAUGAAAUGGAUCUCGGUUCGAUUUCGUUGGUUCUAGAGCUGAGGUGAUGAUCAAUAGGAACAGGCGAAGGUAUUCGUACUUGAGAGUGAGGAGUGAAAUCCGAUGAUCUCUUAAAGACGAUCCGAGGCGAAAGCAUUUGUCAAGGAUGUUUUCAUUGA